RNAcentral lists this ribosomal RNA (738 nucleotides) under Tetradesmus obliquus. RNAcentral's name for it is "partial large subunit ribosomal RNA". It matches the Rfam family "Eukaryotic large subunit ribosomal RNA", at positions 129 to 894 of the family's 3401-position model. The record is from RNAcentral. Lineage: Eukaryota; Viridiplantae; Chlorophyta; Chlorophyceae; Sphaeropleales; Scenedesmaceae.
UCUCCCUUGGAGAAUUGUAGUCUAUAGAAGUACCCUCUGCGACGGGCGGAGCUCAAGUCCCCUGGAAAGGGGCGUCAGAGAGGGUGAGAACCCCGUAAGCUCUUGCUUUGUCGCCUCACGAGGUGCUUUCGAAGAGUCGGGUUGCUUGGGAAUGCAGCCCAAAUUUGGUGGUAAAUCCCAUCUAAGGCUAAAUAUUGGCGAGAGACCGAUAGCGAACAAGUACCGUGAGGGAAAGAUGAAAAGAACUUUGAAAAGAGAGUUAAAAAGUGCUUGAAAUUGUUGAGGGGGAAGCGUUUGAAUGCUAGAGUGCGCCUAGGCUUAUGGGUUCUUAACGGAGCUCUGUAUGUGCUAGGUGCUGGCCAGCAUGGGUUGGGCGAGUGGGAUAACAACUGGGGUUGUUACCCGGUCUAUGCCACUUGCUUGACCAAGGCGUGAAGACUGCCCUUGUCCUUCGGGAACUGCAGUCUCAAGAUGCUGGCAAAAGGCUUUCAACCGGCCCGUCUUGAAACACGGACCAAGGAGUCUAACAUGUAUGCGAGUUGGUGGGUGGAAAACCCAUGAAGCGUAAGGAAACUGACUGGUGGGAUGGCCUGUGCCUGCACCAUCGACCGACCAUGCGUUUCUGCAAAAGGUUUGAGUGCGAGCAUACCUGUUGGGACCCGAAAGAUGGUGAACUAUGCCUGAGCAGGGUGAAGCCAGGUGAAAACCUGGUGGAGGCUCGUAGAUGUGCUGACGUGC